UGGAGUGAACUGGGAGCACAGUGCCCUCUUGUGGUAGAUCUGUCGCUUUGCAAAGAAUGGUAAAUUUCUCUAGAAGGAACCCAAGGCAAGAAUUUAAGACGGAUGUGAAUAUUGUCAAAAGCCACCUCGCACCACCUGCAGCCGUUCUUCCAUGCUGUGGCCCAAACUCUUGCUUUCUGGGAAGCAGAACUUGGAUUUGAAGGGUGGCAGAGAGACACGAGAGACCUGGAGAGAAGGGCCACCCGGGGCGCAGGUGCAUUUGGUCAGCAGAAAGGCAGGACCGGAGAUCUGCACGGGACACGGGAGAGAGGCUGAACUGUAGGAAAGAGUAGCUAACCAUGUCAGGAGCACGUUUCUCAAAUUGGCCACGACGAACCCCCGGAGUGAUCAUGAUGGAGAAAAGACCACAAUUAGAAGACAGUGAGAGGAGCUUCAAAGGACUCCAUUGGCUUCCUCUAGCUCUGUAAAAAGUCCAAGAGAUAGGUUUCCCGAGCCAUCUGGAGCUCCUUUUCGGCAGGGUUGAGUCUAGUCUAUACUCCGCAGGAGGAAGUCGCUUGCGUAGUUGGAGACGUCUCCUGUGCAUUGGAGCCAGUGGCUUGAUGUCAACCUUGCUGGAGAACAAACCUAGUUUUACACCAACCUGUUGAAAAGAAGUCUUCCCACUGCUUAGGCAGACUUUGACAGGGAUGGACGCCUAGAGCUCAAAUAACUGUAGGGCCCUGAAGACAUGUUCUCAGCGAAUUUCUAAGAAGAAAUAUGAACAGAAGAGAAUAUAGAUGAAGAGGUUUUGAAACUUAUUCCCACAUGAUAUAGGAAAAAGAAAAGACAAUGCUAA
This 835-nucleotide long non-coding RNA is filed under the name Equus caballus (horse). RNAcentral describes it as "lncRNA (ENSECAG00000041554.2)". Lineage: Eukaryota; Metazoa; Chordata; Mammalia; Perissodactyla; Equidae. The record is from RNAcentral.